UGGGGAAUAUUGCGCAAUGGGGGAAACCCUGACGCAGCGACGCCGCGUGCGGGAUGAAGGCCUUCGGGUUGUAAACCGCUUUCAGCAGGGACGAAGCGGAAGUGACGGUACCUGCAGAAGAAGCGCCGGCUAACUACGUGCCAGCAGCCGCGGUAACACGUAGGGCGCGAGCGUUGUCCGGAAUUAUUGGGCGUAAAGAGCUCGUAGGCGGCCUGUUGCGUCCGCUGUGAAAGCCCGGGGCUUAACCCCGGGUCUGCAGUGGAUACGGGCAGGCUAGAGGUAGGCAGGGGAGAAUGGAAUUCCCGGUGUAGCGGUGAAAUGCGCAGAUAUCGGGAGGAACACCGGUGGCGAAGGCGGUUCUCUGGGCCUUACCUGACGCUGAGGAGCGAAAGCGUGGGGAGCGAACA
RNAcentral lists this ribosomal RNA (407 nucleotides) under uncultured Actinomycetales bacterium. RNAcentral's name for it is "partial 16S ribosomal RNA". It matches the Rfam family "Bacterial small subunit ribosomal RNA", at positions 355 to 774 of the family's 1533-position model. Lineage: Bacteria; Bacillati; Actinomycetota; Actinomycetes; Actinomycetales. The record is from RNAcentral.